UCGAGCGGCAGCGCGGGGGCAACCCUGGCGGCGAGCGGCGAACGGGUGAGUAACAUAUCGGAACGUACCCAGUAAUGGGGGAUAACUACCCGAAAGGGUAGCUAAUACCGCAUACGCCCUGAGGGGGAAAGCGGGGGAUCGGAAACGACCUCGCGUUAUUGGAGCGGCCGAUAUCGGAUUAGCUAGUUGGUGGGGUAAAGGCUCACCAAGGCGACGAUCCGUAGCUGGUCUGAGAGGACGACCAGCCACACUGGAACUGAGACACGGUCCAGACUCCUACGGGAGGCAGCAGUGGGGAAUUUUGGACAAUGGGGGCAACCCUGAUCCAGCCAUUCCGCGUGAGUGAAGAAGGCCUUCGGGUUGUAAAGCUCUUUCGGCAGGAACGAAACGGCGGGCUCUAACAUAGCCUGUCACUGACGGUACCUGAAUAAGAAGCACCGGCUAACUACGUGCCAGCAGCCGCGGUAAUACGUAGGGUGCGAGCGUUAAUCGGAAUUACUGGGCGUAAAGCGUGCGCAGGCGGUUCUAUAAGACAGAUGUGAAAUCCCCGGGCUUAACCUGGGAACUGCGUUUGUGACUGUAGGACUCGAGUGUGGCAGAGGGGGGUGGAAUUCCACGUGUAGCAGUGAAAUGCGUAGAGAUGUGGAGGAACACCGAUGGCGAAGGCAGCCCCCUGGGUUAACACUGACGCUCAUGCACG
RNAcentral lists this ribosomal RNA (700 nucleotides) under uncultured beta proteobacterium. RNAcentral's name for it is "bacterial SSU rRNA". It matches the Rfam family "Bacterial small subunit ribosomal RNA", at positions 62 to 755 of the family's 1533-position model. Lineage: Bacteria; Pseudomonadati; Pseudomonadota; Betaproteobacteria. The record is from RNAcentral.